AAAGGAUUGAAAAAGGGAUAAAUGGUACCCAAAAAAAAAACCCCAAAAUCUCAAAAAUUUCAACUAAAAUCCCACCCAAAAAACCCCAAAGUUCUGUCCCAAAAAUCCCCAAAAUCCCACCCAAAAAUCCCCCAAAUUCCUCCCAAAAAAACCCAAAAUUCUGCCCCAAAAAUCCCCAAAAUCCCUUCCAAAAAACCCCAAAAUUCUGCUCCAAAAAUCCCCAAAAUUCCCACAAAAAACCCCAAAAUUCUGCCCCAAAAUCCCCCAAAAUCCCUCCCCAAAAUCUUCCAAAUUCCUCCCAAAAAAACCCCAAAAUUCUGCUCCAAAAAUCCCCAAAAUCCCUCCCAAAAAAAUCCCAAAUCCCACCCAAAAACCCCAAAAUUCUGCACCAAAAAUCCCCAAAAUUCCCACAAAAAACCCCAAAAUCCCUCCCAAAAAACCCCAAAUUCUUCCCAAAAUUCCCAAAAUUCUGCUCCAAAAAUCUCCAAAAUCCCUCCCAAAAAACCCCAAAAUUCUGCCCAAAAAUCCCCAAAAUCCCUCCCAAAAAUCCCCAAAAUCCCUCCCAAAAAAAUCCAACAUCCCUCCCAAAAAACCCAAAAUUCCCACAACAAAAAUCCCCCAAUUCCCACCCAAAAUUCCCAAAAUUCUGCUCCAAAAAUCCCAAAAUUCCUCCCCAAAAAACCCCAAAAUCCCUCCCAAAAAAACCCAAAAUUCUGCCCAAAAAACCCCAAAUCCCACCCAAAAAACCCCAAAAUUCCCACAACAAAAAUCCCCCAAAUCCCACCCCAAAAUCCAAAAAAUUCCACCCAAAAUCCCUUCCAAAAAGCCCCAAAAUUCUGCUCCAAAAAUCCCCAAAAUCCCUCCCAAAAAAAUCCCAAAAUUCCUCCCCAAAAAACCCCGAAAUCCCUUCCAAAAAAACCCAAAAUUCUGCCCCAAAAAUCCCCCAAAUCCCUCCCAAAAAUCCCCAAAAUUCUGUCCCAAAAAUCCCCAAAAUCCCUCCCAAAAAACCCCAAAAUUCUGCCCAAAAAUCCCCCAAAUCCCUCCCAAAAAACCCAAAAUUCCCACAAAAAAAAUCCCCCAAAUCCCUCCCAAAAUCCCAAAA
RNAcentral lists this long non-coding RNA (1102 nucleotides) under Cyanistes caeruleus (blue tit). RNAcentral describes it as "lncRNA (ENSCCEG00000001958.1)". Lineage: Eukaryota; Metazoa; Chordata; Aves; Passeriformes; Paridae. The record is from RNAcentral.